ACCCCCACAACCCCCUCCCCCCGCCGCACCUUCACCCUUUCUGAAAAGGUCAAUCGUAUCUCGUUGUUCAGUGAUCCGGGAGGUGGAAGGCUAUUGGUUCAGGGAGCCCGUCAGACCGGACUGGAGUGAGCCAUGAUUGGUCGACACAGGCGCAAUCAGAGUCAAGAAAACUUUGCUUUUGACUUAUUUACAGCUAGUCACAAUUGAGUGAAGUAUACUCCUGUAAACAAAUUUGGAUUUCUCUCUCUCAAUCUGAUUUCUCCAGAAUGUGGAAACUAUUUGUAUCAUCUAGUGAACUGUUCAGAUGCAACUGAAUUGAAAAGGAGCUGAACAAAAGAUCCUGAGAGAGACUUCAACAAAAAGUAAAAUGGAUUUUAUCAUACUUGAAAAAUCAACAAUUGCAGUCUGGAUUCAUACAUCACUGUCUGAUGCACCCAACUUGAGUCAAAAAGAUGUUUCAAAUCCCACUAGGCUGGAGGCAAAAAUACUCAAGAGUUUAAGAGCGUCUCUUGACAGUGUACAGAAUAAGAUAGCUUCUCAGCUUUCAGCUUUACUUCACGGUUUUAACUAUCAAAAGAAGCAAGCCAUCUGAAGAUUUGCCUGAGACUGAAGGAUCCACUUCUGCGACGACUCCCUCAGGACUUAUAAUGCAGAUGGAACCAGAUUGAGAAAAACCAGCCAACCAACCAACCAACAUGAUGGCUGAACCAGACAAGAGAAGUCCCGAAGUAAAAUACCCACCAAUUACCAGAAUCUGUGCCUGCCAUACAUCGAAGAAUCUUGCUCUGUCGCUCAAGCUGGAGUGCAGUGGUGUGAUCUCAGCUCACUGUAAGUUCUGCUGCCCAAGUUGAAGCGAUUCUUCCACCUCAGCAUCCUGAGCAGCUGGGACUACAGGUACACACCACUGCACCUGGCUAAUCUUUAUAUUUUUAGUAGAAGUGGGAUAUCACCAUGUUGGCCAGGCUGGUCUUGAACUCCUGACUUCAAGUGAUCUGCCUGUCUUGGCCUCCCAUACUGCUGGGAUUACAAGUGUGAACCACCAUGCUGGCCUGUGACAUUUUAAUCUAGUCAAUCAGUCUUGGAAAAUAAAGCCUUGCUUUCUGUGGCACCUAAACCAA
This 1118-nucleotide long non-coding RNA is filed under the name Homo sapiens (human). RNAcentral describes it as "novel transcript". Lineage: Eukaryota; Metazoa; Chordata; Mammalia; Primates; Hominidae. The record is from RNAcentral.